GGCUGCGCGUGUCCGCGGUGGGACGGGUAGCCCCCCAUGACAAAUUUUGCUGGCCCGCGACCUCAUUGCCCCACUAGGAAAAGGCCUGCUUUGCCGGAUGCCCAGUCCAGGCCCACCUGAGAGGUGAUUCUACCGGCAACAGCAUCUGACACAAUAGCAAAAAAAUUGCUAUAAAAAACAGCGAAGUCUGUGUGGUUGUGUUAGGAGGCCAUUCCCAC
Long non-coding RNA from Paramormyrops kingsleyae, 218 nucleotides. RefSeq lists it as uncharacterized. The record is from RefSeq and is a predicted model, not a curated record. Lineage: Eukaryota; Metazoa; Chordata; Actinopteri; Osteoglossiformes; Mormyridae.